GCAGUCGAGCGGACCGAAAGGGAGCUUGCUCCUUUAGGUUAGCGGCGGACGGGUGAGUAACACGUGGGCAACCUGCCCUGCAGACUGGGAUAACUUCGGGAAACCGGAGCUAAUACCGGAUAACACCGAAAACCGCAGUGGUUUUCGGUUGAAAGGCGGCUUUUAGCUGUCACUGCAGGAUGGGCCCGCGGCGCAUUAGCUAGUUGGUGAGGUAACGGCUCACCAAGGCGACGAUGCGUAGCCGACCUGAGAGGGUGACCGGCCACACUGGGACUGAGACACGGCCCAGACUCCUACGGGAGGCAGCAGUAGGGAAUCUUCCGCAAUGGACGAAAGUCUGACGGAGCAACGCCGCGUGAGCGAAGAAGGUCUUCGGAUCGUAAAGCUCUGUUGUCAGGGAAGAACAAGUACCGUUCGAACAGGGCGGUACCUUGACGGUACCUGACGAGGAAGCCACGGCUAACUACGUGCCAGCAGCCGCGGUAAUACGUAGGUGGCAAGCGUUGUCCGGAAUUAUUGGGCGUAAAGCGCGCGCAGGCGGUUCCUUAAGUCUGAUGUGAAAUCUCGCGGCUCAACCGCGAGCGGCCAUUGGAAACUGGGGAACUUGAGUGCAGGAGAGGGGA
Molecule: ribosomal RNA, 623 nt
Filed under: Aeribacillus pallidus
Lineage: Bacteria; Bacillati; Bacillota; Bacilli; Caryophanales; Bacillaceae
Description: bacterial SSU rRNA
Rfam family: Bacterial small subunit ribosomal RNA
Source: RNAcentral